GCGAUACUUCGCAUUGGUUAUUUGUUAAAUAAUAAAGAGUUACAUUAACGCACUGAUUAUAUUUGAUAUUUAUAUCGGCUUCCGAAGCCAAGGGUCACUGGUUCGACUCCAGUCGGGCGCACCA
Molecule: transfer RNA, 124 nt
Filed under: Betaproteobacteria bacterium
Lineage: Bacteria; Pseudomonadati; Pseudomonadota; Betaproteobacteria
Description: tRNA-Ser
Source: RNAcentral